Molecule: long non-coding RNA, 1982 nt
Filed under: Homo sapiens (human)
Lineage: Eukaryota; Metazoa; Chordata; Mammalia; Primates; Hominidae
Description: non-protein coding lnc-CCDC8-6:1
Source: RNAcentral
GCCACAGAGCGCGCGGAGGACAAGGUGACCAGAGGUUCCCCAGACGGUACCCCUGGUAGAGAGAGCCAAUAGGGAAUGAGAGAAGGGGCGCGCGGGGAAACAGACCUGGUGUGGCCUCUCCUCCCAAAGUUACCGUGUUCCAAGGCUGUAAAAAGUUUCUCGGUUCUGAAAGUGGGAUUUCCCCGCUGUCCUCUAGGGUUGGGGGGUGGGUUGUGAAUGUCGCUGGCGGGUGUGGCUGUUUUGCAAGGCAGCGCCAUGCCCUACGCGGAGCCGGACCCGGGCGUCGAGCCCUAUUGUCGACUACCUGUGUGACCUUGAACAAAUCUUCCCUUCCUCUCUAGGGUCUCAGUUACCCAUCUCUGAAAAAUUAGUGGUUUCUCAAGCCAAAAAGGGUCCAACCUUGAGGGUCAGUGUUUGAGUUUUUAACUGAAGGCACUCUGGAUUUCAAGUCCUGAGCAAGGCUUAGAAGUGUGUUGCACCAUCUCCUUUCUUCCUGUGUUCAGCUUCCCAAAUCCUGAAUCUUCAAAUAAACUCUCCUGUUUGUGUUUUUACAGAUUCUCUUGUCUGAGAUCACAGCAUUGAUUGCAUGCACUCUGCCUCCCUCCAGUUUACCCUUCACAUUUUUUUUUUUUUUUUUUUUUUUUUGAGAGGGAGUCUCCCUCUGUCGCCCAGGCUGGAGUGCAGUGGCGCCAUCUAGGCUCACUGCAACCUCCGCCUCCCGGUUUAAGCGAUUCUUCUGCCUCAGCCUCCCAAGUAGCUGGGAUUACAGGCGCCCGCCACCAUGCCCGGCUAAUUUUUGUAUUUUAGUAGAAACGGGUUUCACCACGUUGGCCAGGCUGGCCUCGAACUGCCGACCUCAAGCUAUCCGCCCGCCUCGGCCUCCCAAAGUGCUGGGAUUACAGGCGUGAGCCACCGUGCCCGGCCGAGGGAUCUUUCUAAGACAUGAUAAAACCAUGGCACACUCUCGCUCCCAGGCUUCCAUGGCCCCAGCACCCUUAGGAGAAAACCCAAACUCCUGAUUAGGAGACCCUGAAUAGUCUUAACCUCAGGCUGAAUAGUCUAAUAUCCAGAUUCCACCCCUUUGCCAAUCCCCACCCGCCGUACACGCUUCCAGUCUGUCCUUUCUAAGCCCUCAUGUAGCACUAAGUCCUGUAAGGCUCUGGAUCCCCUCCUGGAAGCACACUCCUAAACCUAUCUAUCCCACUCCCAAACCUCUUGUUAGUCCAACCCCAUCUCUCCUACUGGCCCCCAGCACAACCAACAAUCACCCUAAAGGGCAGAUAUUAGUAUCAUCUCCAUUUUACAGAUAAAGACACAGACUUGCAGAGGUGUUUGACGAAGGUCACAACAACAUAAGAAGGUGACAGAGCCAGGAUCAGGAAUCCCAUCUAAUUCCUAUGUCCUUCAUUGCCACUCUACUGCCUCUGUAGGUGCCAGAGCCCAUCUUGGUGGGUUAGUAAAUUUUUCUUUUGUUUGUUCGUAUUGUUUGUUUUGGGGUUGGGGGAAAAGGAGCUGCCAUAGUGGAUUUGAAUUCUGGUUUCGAGUCCAGCGGAAUCCUUCCUGACACUGUGACCUUGGGCAAGUGAUCACCCUCUUCUAAGCCUCAGUUUCAACCUCUGUAAAGUGGGGAUAAUAAUUAUCCCCAUCAUACAGGAUUAGAGGAGAGUUCGACAACAUGAGUACAGCAUUUGUCAGGGAGCCUGACACAGAGUAGUACUUUUAUAUUCACUCCAUCACAAAUACUCAAAGUGGGCUGGGUAUGGUAGCUCAUGCCUGUAAUCGAAGCACUUUGGGAGGCCAAAGCAGGCAGAUCACUUGAGGUCAGAAGUUCAAGACCAGCCUGGCCAACAUGGCAAAACCCCGUCACUACCAGAAAUACAAAAAUUUAGCUGGGCAUGAUGGUGCGCACCUAUAGUCCCAGUUAUUAGGGAGGUUGAGGCAGGAGAAUUGCUUGAACCUAGGAGGCGGAGGCUGCAGUGAGC